GACGAACGCUGGCGGCGCGCCUAACACAUGCAAGUCGAACGAGCGAGAGAGAGCUUGCUUUCUCAAGCGAGUGGCGAACGGGUGAGUAACGCGUGAGGAACCUGCCUCAAAGAGGGGGACAACAGUUGGAAACGACUGCUAAUACCGCAUAAGCCCACGACCCGGCAUCGGGUUGAGGGAAAAGGAGCAAUCCGCUUUGAGAUGGCCUCGCGUCCGAUUAGCUGGUUGGUGAGGUAACGGCCCACCAAGGCAACGAUCGGUAGCCGGACUGAGAGGUUGAACGGCCACAUUGGGACUGAGACACGGCCCAGACUCCUACGGGAGGCAGCAGUGGGGAAUAUUGCACAAUGGGGGAAACCCUGAUGCAGCGACGCCGCGUGGAGGAAGAAGGUCUUCGGAUUGUAAACUCCUGUUGUUGAGGAAGAUAAUGACGGUACUCAACAAGGAAGUGACGGCUAACUACGUGCCAGCAGCCGCGGUAAAACGUAGGUCACAAGCGUUGUCCGGAAUUACUGGGUUUAAAGGGAGCGUAGGUGGACUGGUAAGUCAGUUGUGAAAGUUUGCGGCUCAACCGUAAAAUUGCAGUUGAUACUGUCAGUCUUGAGUACAGUAGAGGUGGGCGGAAUUCGUGGUGUAGCGGUGAAAUGCUUAGAUAUCACGAAGAACUCCGAUUGCGAAGGCAGCUCACUGGACUGCAACUGACACUGAUGCUCGAAAGUGUGGGUAUCANACAGG
Molecule: ribosomal RNA, 735 nt
Filed under: uncultured bacterium
Lineage: Bacteria
Description: bacterial SSU rRNA
Rfam family: Bacterial small subunit ribosomal RNA
Source: RNAcentral